AGAAAUGGUUUCGUUGGUGCGUUUUGAGUUAUGGUUUCGACGAGUCGAGACCGUGUGGUUAGGUUCUCACCCCCUACAGCUUUACCUUUUCAGGAAUCGGAUGAAGAAGCGUUAAGAAGAGUUAUAUUACGUUUGGUUGAUAUGUUGUUGUAUUAAUUAGAUUAUUUU
Molecule: non-coding RNA, 168 nt
Organism: Arachis ipaensis
Lineage: Eukaryota; Viridiplantae; Streptophyta; Magnoliopsida; Fabales; Fabaceae
Source: RefSeq, a predicted model, not a curated record